AUGGCAGAGGAAAAACCAUCCCGCGAACCUCCCUCCUCACCAGCUGCAAAAAUGGAGGGGGAGGUGGGGGACACCCUACCACGUGGGCAGGAUGCAACACACACAGGACAGCAACACGUCCGCAUGGAACGGCUGCCUUUGCCCUCACGCCAGCAAAGGACACCGCGACAGGAUGGGCAGGAGCGCAGGCCCCCGCACGGGCCUCCGCACCCCGCGGGGCACCGCCAGGCGCGAGGGGCUGCCCCGCCUUCGCGGCCGAGAAGCGCCCCCAAGCUUCAAGGGAAGAAGCCGCACCGCUGCCCGGGGUUCGAGGGCUGGCCGAGGCCAGGGUGCAGCUUCCAGGCGAAAGGGGACGCUCGCUGUCCCCGGCCCCGGCGCCCACGGGGAUCCACGUCUGGUCCCCCUCCCCCGGGGCCCCAGCUGGGGGAGGGGCGGGAGGCGCGGAGCUGCCGCUUCCCGGCUGAGGGGCAGCAGCAGCUGAGGAGCAGCGCCGCGGGGGAGGGAGGGAUCAGCCCUCGCCGCCCGCCAGGCCCCGGCCCAGGCCCCGGCCCCCCGCGCCGCCCGCCGCCCACCUCACGGCGCGGCCGCGAGCGAAAGCAGGGAGAGGACGUCUCUCCGAGGGCAGCCCCUGCCUCCGUCCCGGGAGAUGCCCCAGCCCCGCCUCCUCGCCCCGUUGCCCCGGCACGGCCGCCUCGGCGGCGGGCACUCACCUCAGGCUGCGCAGGCCGGGACGGCCCGGCCGAGCCCCCGGCCGCUAAGUGCGUCUCCGCCCCCCCGGGAAAGGUCCCAACGGCGCCUGGUGCGAGCGGCCGAGGCCCCGAGCAGCGCCGAGAGUGGCGGCAGCAGCGGGAGCAGCCAACAUCCGGGGCCGCGCACCCGGAACUACUUCCCGACCCGCUCCCUCUCCCGCCCCCGCCGCCGCCGCCGCGGCCGCCGCCGCCGUCACGGUCGCCCCCGCCUCCCGCGACGUCGCUGCGCCACCGGCCGGGCGUCGGCGGCGUCACGACUGGUACGCGUCGCCGCCGCUUCGACUUGCGCGGGAUUCCUCCGCUGGGACAAGUAGUGCCUCGGGGCUCCACGCAGCCAGCGUCCACUAGCGGCCGGCAGUGCCGAUCGAUUUGGGGUCGCUUCGCCUCUCUCAGUGACGUUUUGGAGGGAGGGCCGCGGAGGCUGCCCGGGAAUCGAGGACCCUGCCUCCGGGUGCCAGGGGUCCCGGGCUCCCGGGGAAUGGCGCCGCGUGACCUCCCGCUGUCCCGCCGACCUCCACACCACCUUAGCCUCUCCGGGAAACCGGACCCCUUUCCGACUUUGCACACCGCGGAUUCUGCGGUCGCCAACAAAGGCGCCUUGGGGCUUCAGGACACCCUUUCAGAACUCCACGAGGCCGGGGUUCUAGACCCAUCAUUGCCGAGCCGGGUCUGCCUUUGCUUCUCGAAACAAAGGCGUUGGAGCUGGGGAAAGGACCUCUGGUUCUCAGGCUGGGCGCGCAGGUUCUGA
RNAcentral lists this long non-coding RNA (1497 nucleotides) under Oryctolagus cuniculus (rabbit). RNAcentral describes it as "lncRNA (ENSOCUG00000038974.1)". The record is from RNAcentral. Lineage: Eukaryota; Metazoa; Chordata; Mammalia; Lagomorpha; Leporidae.